Long non-coding RNA from Helianthus annuus (common sunflower), 477 nucleotides. RefSeq lists it as uncharacterized. NCBI's taxonomy places the organism in Eukaryota, Viridiplantae, Streptophyta, Magnoliopsida, Asterales, Asteraceae. The transcript has 3 exons. The record is from RefSeq and is a predicted model, not a curated record.
GCAGAUUUACGUUACUCUGUGGGGGGUUUAUGCUGAUCAGAUUAUUGAAUUUCAAAGAGAACAUAAGGAUGAAAAAAAUGUUGUUGUGGUUGUUCAGUUUGGCAAGUACCGUUUUUGGGGAGGAAAUUUGUUCGUAUCCAAUUUGUAUACUGUAACUCGAGUGUUCAUAAACACUGAAAUUCCCGAGAUUUUGGAAUUUAAAAGAAGGCACGUAAUCUUAUUACGAUUUUGUUUUAUAGUCUACUUUAUGUACAUAUUAGUCUAAAAAAUGGCAUUAUUUCUGUACAGUUUCCUUGCUCAGAUGAAUACGUCAACGUCUUCCGGUUACUCUGGUUUGAGUUCCCCUGUUAUGAAGUCAAUGGCUGAGGAGUAUCUUUCUGAUAUUUCCUUCAGUACAAUUGGAGCAUUAACCGGAAUAUCAGAAGAAAAGUUUGUUAUUAUACUUGGAACAAUUAAAAGCUUUGCUUCAGAAGACUC